AAACAGAGAAUAUAAAUUACAUAUAAUCAAUUAUCAUCAAUAUUCAUUACAAUUUUAAAAUGUCUUGCACAAAAUCUCAAAUGUGAACCUAACAAUUUUACAAAAUCUAAUAAAAAGUUUCAAAAACAAAUUCUAAAGAUGCAAUGUUCUUCGAAUACCAACUUUUUCAACUACAUAUGGCAUUUCUCCCUUCUGCAUUCAAGCUAGCAUUGUCGUAUUACCUGCAAAACCCAAGGAAGGAGAGAAAAUCAAGAAAUGGUUAGAUAGCAACUAAAAACCAAAACUUCCAUUUUUUCUAAGUAAUUAGCAAUUCUUGCAUCAUCUUUUAUCCUCGCCAAAGCUUCAAAACCAUAUAGAUCUCACCUCAGGACGAAUGUUUAAACAGAACGAAUGCUAAAUUUUUCAAAGUAGUAAAUUUACUCUAUAUGCUAAUAAUGUUUAUUUUAUAUAUUAAUUUCAUUUUAUAGAUGCAAAUAAGUCAUCUAUAUAUAUGUAAGCAGAUUAAAACUUCCAAAUAAUCAAAGACAAAAUAUGAUCAUUCAUUACCACAUAACAUAUAUGUGGAAUUCGAUUAUUAUCAUUUCUUAUUACAAAAAUUUCAUAUUACUUAGUUUUAUUAAAUGUAGAAUAUAUUGUAUAUAUACUAUUUGACAUUGACUGAUGAGCAUUGAAGUUUACCUUUAUACAGAGAGGGCAAUAGUUUUCCUUAACAAACAAUCUUCCACAAGCAUCACAACAAGUAUACCCUAAAACCACCUGCAGUCGAAUUAAUUCAAAUCAAUGAGAAGUGGAAUACUUUAAAAGAAUCAUCUUCACAUUCAUAUCAGGAUACCAUUCCAUAGUCCGAUAUCAAGUAAUAUAGAGAAGCACUUCCUUCAUUUUUAAACAAGGUAUAGAUAGCUCAAGUACUGUUCUUGUUUGUUAUAAUAUGAAUUAAGCUAUGUGCAUCUACAACAAGAAACCAUCACUUGAAACAGCAGGAAACUCAAUCAUACACCAUCAACAAUGUAUAUUAUGUAUCAUCUCCAGGCAAAACACCUCAUAUAACCAAACCACGGAGAUAACGAAACCAAAUUUCAAAAUUUAAAUGACAAAAAUAUUGAAUCACUAACGUUAAUAGCAAAUUCAAUAGCGAGUAAUUGAAAAUCACAAGACCCCAACCUCCUCGAGUAAUCCUCCCUAAUGAUCGACGCGACAACACCUAGUUUCUGCAGCUUCACCUGAGUUAAGAUAAAGAGCAGUGGUAAAUAGUUUCUCAUAAGCAAUGCACUCACACACACACUAUAUUCCAAAUGCAACUAGUUCAAGAAACAAACAUAAUUUAAUAUGCUCUGCAUAUCUAUAACUUUGCUCAUAGUUCAUAAUAAUAUAAUUGCUGUAGUAAUUGUAAUGGAUUCGUCUUCCCACGUAGUUCACGAGUUCAUCCAUUCUAAUUAGGGAACCCUAACUAGUCAUAGAGAAUGAAAAAUUUACCUCACUCGACUAAGAACAAUAGACAGAAAAGAACAAGAGAGAGAGACAGAGAUACGUUGGUGAAGACACCAAAAACCAGUACCUCGGAUUGAAAUCGCAGAGAAAUCGCAGACUUGAGGCGGCUUGGAGAAAGGGGAGCUCGCGCCUCGGGCUUCUCAAUCGAGUAAAAUGGCUGGGUGGAUCUCACUGAGAGUCAGGCGGCGGAGCGAUGGAGUCAACGGCGGAGCGGCUCCGAGGCGCCAUGGGGUGACCGAAGGAGAUAGGAGCAGCGGCGACCACCUAGGGUUCGAGAGUUGGGGGCUGAAACAUUGAGAAACAACACCACAUGAGAAGAACAAGAGAGAGAGACAGAGAUACGUUGGUGAAGACACCAAAAACCAGUACCUCGGAUUGAAAUCGCAGAGAAAUCGCAGACUUGAGGCGGCUUGGAGAAAGGGGAGCUCGCGCCUCGGGCUUCUCAAUCGAGUAAAAUGGCUGGGUGGAUCUCACUGAGAGUCAGGCGGCGGAGCGAUGGAGUCAACGGCGGAGCGGCUCCGAGGCGCCAUGGGGUGACCGAAGGAGAUAGGAGCAGCGGCGACCACCUAGGGUUCGAGAGUUGGGGGCUGAAACAUUGAGAAGCAACACCACAUGAGAGAGGCACGAGAUGUUGCGUCGGCCGAUAAAAUGGCUGGGGAAAAAAUAUGGAGGCGGCAUAGGGAAGCUGUUGAGUCGCCCGGAGUAGGGUGGCGCA
This 2203-nucleotide long non-coding RNA is filed under the name Salvia miltiorrhiza (redroot sage). RNAcentral's name for it is "long non-coding RNA (SMIL_LNC006580)". The record is from RNAcentral. Lineage: Eukaryota; Viridiplantae; Streptophyta; Magnoliopsida; Lamiales; Lamiaceae.